Molecule: ribosomal RNA, 301 nt
Filed under: uncultured bacterium
Lineage: Bacteria
Description: partial 16S ribosomal RNA
Rfam family: Bacterial small subunit ribosomal RNA
Source: RNAcentral
CAGUAGCCGCGGGAAUACAGAGGGUGCGAGCGUUAAUCGGAUUUACUGGGCGUAAAGCGUGCGUAGGCGGCUUCUUAAGUCGGAUGUGAAAUCCCUGAGCUUAACUUAGGAAUUGCAUUCGAUACUGGGAAGCUAGAGUAUGGGAGAGGAUGGUAGAAUUCCAGGUGUAGCGGUGAAAUGCGUAGAGAUCUGGAGGAAUACCGAUGGCGAAGGCAGCCAUCUGGCCUAAUACUGACGCUGAGGUACAAAAGCAUGGGGAGCAAACAGGAUUAGAUACCCCAGUAGUCCCUGUCUCUUAUAA